AAACCAGACUCCUACGGGAGGCAGCAGUGGGGAAUAUUGCACAAUGGGGGAAACCCUGAUGCAGCGACGCCGCGUGAGUGAAGAAGUAUUUCGGUAUGUAAAGCUCUAUCAGCAGGGAAGAAAUAGCGACCUUUGGGUCGCCAGACGGUACCUGAUUAAGAAGCCCCGGCUAACUACGUGCCAGCAGCCGCGGUAAUACGUAGGGGGCAAGCGUUAUCCGGAUUUACUGGGUGUAAAGGGAGCGUAGACGGCAGCGCAAGUCUGAAGUGAAAUGCCGGGGCUUAACCCCGGAACUGCUUUGGAAACUGUGCAGCUAGAGUGCAGGAGAGGUAAGUGGAAUUCCUAGUGUAGCGGUGAAAUGCGUAGAGAUUAGGAAGAACACCAGUGGCGAAGGCGACUUACUGGACUGUAACCGACGCUGAGGCAUGAGAGCAUGGGGAGCAAACAGGAUUAGAUACCCGAGUAC
RNAcentral lists this ribosomal RNA (466 nucleotides) under uncultured bacterium. RNAcentral's name for it is "bacterial SSU rRNA". It matches the Rfam family "Bacterial small subunit ribosomal RNA", at positions 328 to 793 of the family's 1533-position model. The record is from RNAcentral.